GACGAACGCUGGCGGCGUGCCUAAUACAUGCAAGUCGAACGGACAGGCCAUGCUCUUGUGGCGUGCUCGAUUGCCGAAGGCGUGAGUAUCACGCGAGUAUCACGCCCUUGUCUUAGGGAUAUAAUUUGGAAAAAGGGGCUAAUAUCGCGUAUGAGAUCUUGAUGCAUGGUGGGGGAAGGAAAGUUUCGGUGGUUGGGGAUGGUUUAGAGGCUUAUCAGCUUGUUGGUCGGGUAGUGGAUUACCAAGGUUACGACGGGUAGCCGGCAUUAGAGGGGGGCCGGCCACAAUAGGACUAAGGUACGCCCCAGACUGCUACGUGACGCAGCAGGGGGGAAUAUUGCGCAAUGAGCCGAAGCCUGAUACAGCAACGCCGCGUGCGGGAUGACGGCCUUCGGGUUGAGAACCGCUGUCUCCUGUGACGAACCGAGAUUGACGGUAAUUAGUAAAAAAGCACCGGCUAACUACGUG
Molecule: ribosomal RNA, 468 nt
Filed under: uncultured bacterium
Lineage: Bacteria
Description: partial 16S ribosomal RNA
Rfam family: Bacterial small subunit ribosomal RNA
Source: RNAcentral